Molecule: ribosomal RNA, 484 nt
Filed under: uncultured bacterium
Lineage: Bacteria
Description: partial 16S ribosomal RNA
Rfam family: Bacterial small subunit ribosomal RNA
Source: RNAcentral
AUUGAACGCUGGCGGAAUGCUUUACACAUGCAAGUCGAACGGCAGCACGGGGGCAACCCUGGUGGCGAGUGGCGAACGGGUGAGUAAUACAUCGGAACGUGCCCGGUCGUGGGGGAUAACGUAGCGAAAGUUACGCUAAUACCGCAUACGAUCUGAGGAUGAAAGCGGGGGACCUUCGGGCCUCGCGCGAUCGGAGCGGCCGAUGUCAGAUUAGGUAGUUGGUGGGGUAAAGGCCUACCAAGCCGACGAUCUGUAGCUGGUCUGAGAGGACGACCAGCCACACUGGGACUGAGACACGGCCCAGACUCCUACGGGAGACAGCAGUGGGGAAUUUUGGACAAUGGGCGCAAGCCUGAUCCAGCCAUUCCGCGUGCAGGACGAAGGCCUUCGGGUUGUAAACUGCUUUUGUAUGGAACGAAAAGGCUCUGGCUAAUACCUGGGGCUCAUGACGGUACCGUAAGAAUAAGCACCGGCUAACUACGUG